CCUACGGGAGGCAGCAGUGAGGAAUAUUGGUCAAUGGACGAGAGUCUGAACCAGCAACGUAUCGUGAAGGAUGAAUGCCCUAUGGGUUGUAAACUUCUUUUAUAGGGAAAUAAAAUGGUCCACGUGAGUGUUUUUGUCUGUACCAUAUGUAUACGGAUCGGCUAACUCAGUGCCAGCAGCCGCGGUAAUACGGAGGGUCCGUGCGUUAGCCGGAUUGAUUGGGUUUAAAGGGAGCGUAGGUGGAUUGUUAAGUCAGUUGUGAAAGUUUGCGGCUCAACCGUAAAAUUGCAGUUGAAACUGGCAGUCUUGAGUACAGUAGAGGUGAGCGGAAUUCGUGGUGUAGCGGUGAAAUGCGUAGAUAUCACGAAGAACUCCGAUUGCGAAGGCAGCUCACUGGACUGCAACUGACACUGAGGCUCGAAAGCGUGGGUAUCAAACAGGAUUAGAUACCCGAGUAGUC
This 460-nucleotide ribosomal RNA is filed under the name uncultured bacterium. RNAcentral describes it as "partial 16S ribosomal RNA". It matches the Rfam family "Bacterial small subunit ribosomal RNA", at positions 338 to 795 of the family's 1533-position model. The record is from RNAcentral.